Syzygium oleosum is the source of this 3581-nucleotide long non-coding RNA. RefSeq lists it as uncharacterized. Lineage: Eukaryota; Viridiplantae; Streptophyta; Magnoliopsida; Myrtales; Myrtaceae. The record is from RefSeq and is a predicted model, not a curated record. The transcript has 2 exons.
GCAAAAGCGUUCGUCUUUAUCUAUCUUUGCCCCCUUCUUGAUCGCAUUACAGACUUACGGCUACAGUUGAAAACGGGCUACUAUGCAUGUCUAUUUAGUCUUUACCCGACCGGAAAUUGAUGAUGGCUAUUGGUGAUUAGCUGUAGGAUCUAACUGGUGUGAGAAAUGUGGGUCUGGUGAUGCUUGCCCCUCGCUUUAGUUUGUCUACGCCUUGAAGAAAUUUUUGAGUAGGAAGAAGUCCUGAGAGGAAGAGUGAACUUUGCUGAGAGCUGGAUGAAGCGAAGCUACUCUGCAGUUGGGUUUUGACCAUUCAAAAAAAAUAAAAAAAUUGGUGCCCGUUUGUUUUCUGCGGUAAAAUUCGCCUAAACCCCGAUGUUACUGAAGUGGGAGAGUUGCUAAUUAUCUCUGAUUGUGAAUGAUCAACUGGUUUCCGUGCGAAACACAUGGCAUAAGUGUGCUGAGAAUGAGUUCCGGAAGCAAAAGUCGUGAGUGUUAAGUGAAUCAGUAAGCUGAAUCAAGUAAAGUUUAGUUCUUUGGAAAUUCUUUGAGACUUCUUGGUCAGUGUUAUGGUCGAACGGAGUUAACCAAGUUAAUAUUCGUUUUCCCUUUGAAGAGCUAAUUUUGAUUAUCAAGUCUUUACUCAUGUGAUAUACGAAGACCUAAUAAAUAUAACUCUUUCAUAUAUGAGCCUUAAUCACACAUAAAUCACUCAUGUCUAAGAUGAAUCUAGUAUUAACCAUAACCCCUUUAUUUGGUUUGGCGAAAACUACGUCUCUUGCUAUCAAGAUUUUAUUGGGUCGACUUUUUGUGCAAAUGUUGUAGGUUUAAUUAAUGCUAUUAAUGAUUCACUCUGCGAUAAAAUUUCUAUCACACACUUGAAUACCUCAUGGAUAGGCCCAUGAGAAAUAUUGGACUUUAAUGCGGAGCUCCGCUAGAACCAGGGUGAACUAUUGAAGUUAUUGAGGGCGAAAGAACUUAAGUCUCAAGAGCAUGGUUCUACAUGCUUUGGCUAUCGUAUCUUAAAACUUUAGAGCCACCGUGUUUUCUAAGUACCAUGAUCACAUCAUUGUCGAAAAGCAAGUCUUCUAGCAAAUCGUAUGACAAAUGUUAAAAUUCAUGUUACCAUCUGUCCGUUGCUUUGAUGUGUUUGCUUAUCAGCACUUUCGCCAUGUUCUGUGCCAAUUACCUAUUGCGCGGGAGAUUCCCUUGAGAACCCGCUUCUCAUCCAUUCAUAAAUAUUGUGUAAUAUUUAGUAAAUAGAUCGAACAUAAAAAGAAAAUUAGAUCCUAUAAGUUCUAUCUCAUUCCAAGGCACUAAAUACUUGUAAAUGUGGUCUUCUUUCCUAUUGCUCAACACUACAUCACUUCCUUAAUAGGUGUUUGCAUGAUGAUACAGCUAAAUAUUCUAAUAGCUGAUUGCAAAAGGGGAAUGGUAUCUCUUUGUAGGUUUUCUAUAAUCUUCAUUUUAUAUACCGGAUCCUUUUAUAGUUUACAGUAGGAGUAUUUGUUGCUCUUUAUUGUUGAUCAUUUUUACUCUACAUAAUGCCGUAGGCAUUUGCAUGAUAAUGCAAAUGGCUCGACUUGUUCAUGAUUGUAUAAGGGCAAUGUUGAGGCCAAUUCAUGUACUGUCAUGGCACAAAAGAUUGGCUAGCUAAUAAUCUUUUCUUGAUGUUCAUAUACGGUUCAUUACUGAUAAUGCUAAGGGAGGCACACUAAUUUUCCAGGUAAGUUGACUUCAAUCAAGGAAAAGGGUUUCUGCUCCUGAGUGGUCUAUGCUUUAUAUUGAUUUAGUGCUUUUUUUGUCUUUGAAAACCUUUACCUUGAAUGAUACUAGUUUACCAUUCAGUGAUUUUCUUGCUUUUACACGCAUUUUUAUUAUAAGUUACAGUUUAGGCUCCUCAAAUUGCUCGAGCCAUCCUCGUUGCUUCACAGCUCUUCAUAAUACGAUUGACAUUUGUGAAGAAUUUGAUUUCCAAUUAACAUUUGUGACAGACAAAGAGCGAGAUUGUUCUGACCUGCUGCUUCCUGCAUAUUCAAGUAGUCUUUGACGAGCAUUUUAUUUGCUGAAGUUGAUUGUGAGCCUAACAAAUUGUCUAAUUUUUUAGGGCAUAUAUUUGCACAAAUGUGGCAUGAGACUUGAUACUUGUUCUAAUUUGUUUUGCAUUUUGCAUUUUGUUUUGAAAUCAUGUUUGACUGUUUGCAAUAGAACAACUGCUUCAAAUUCCUAUCUCAGCAUUUGCUUUGAGAUUGGUAUGCCCCAGUUAUGACUGUUAUCAUGCGGGUUUAAAGUCAUUUAGUAUGAAAAAGACUCUGGAAAAGGAGGGAGAUGGCACAACAAGGGAUAAUGUGGUUUGGACAUGUGAAAUGGACGAUGUGUUGAUAGAUGGAUUGUUAGAGGAACAAAGAAAAGGCAACUGUCAUGAUAUCGUGUUUAGCAGUGAGGCUUACCAUAAUACCACGAAAACCUUGAGGAACUCCUUUGGUCCAUUUAUUCAGAUAUCUAAUAUAUAGAAUAGAACUAAGACGAUGAAGAAGAAUUUUGCCGAAUGUAGUACUACAUUUCAUGGUUGGAGUGACUUUACUUGGAAUGCCAUCACGAAGAUGUUUGAUGCUCCAGAUGAAGGAGAAGUUACUUCUUGUUCUAGGUCAUUUCAAUCGUUAUUUCUUCUUUGGCGUUUCUCUUUUGACUUCUCAUGUGUAUUAAUGCGCCUAGCAAGAAUACAACAACUGCAUAUAUUACAGGAGAGACCUGAAGCAAGAAGGUGGAGGCCAUUGCUUACAACAAACUUUAUGAACUUUAUUCACAAGAUAGAGCAAUUGGAUAAUGGCAUGGCCCUGGUAAAAGACUUAAUUGGCGGAUCGCAAUGCACUUCGCCAGAGGCAAUCAGAAUGGCUUCACUCCCGAGUUUUUGACUGCUAAUAAUUCUCAUGAGAGAGCAUCUUCUGGUGGCUCGAAGCGAAAGGCCACGGUGCCGGAUGUGUUCAAGAGUCAGUGCACAAGGCUGAGCACGGGAAUGGAAAGAGUCACAGACGCCCUAGAACAGGUGAAUGUGAUAGCUGAAAAGUUUCUUACGAUUUUUUAAAGUGGCCAGCCGCGACACUAUUGAGAAGAUGAGAUAUAUAGUGAGCUUGAACCAAUGGGACUGCACCCAAAUUUUCUGCUGGAUGCUUAUAGUUUUCUCGCUGGCAAUCCAAAGGCGACAAGGACAAUUUUUGGCGCUCCAUGGGCUAGGCGCAUGGAAUUGCUGACGAAGAUCAUGAACGAUCAUGGUAUUGUAGAUACAUGACAAACAGAAUUGAAGAUAUGUAGGUUUGCUGAGCAAUGUUGGAUCAUAGUUAUAGCCAUUACUUGUCAAUAACAUCUGUACUUUCUUAUUGGCCCAGGUGGGGGGGCACUUUUGAAAUGAACUCCCUGGGUACAUAUGGGUAAUUAUGUUUGUGGCAUUAUGGUUCUGGUGGUGUUGCUAAGAUGGUUGGUUAGACGGUUUUGUUUUUUGGAUAAGGUUUGCAAGGUUAAUCAAACUUUUGCCAAGAGUGAGGUGAAUGUUUUUGUUUACUGAGAUUUGAUUUGUACUUGGAGCA